RNAcentral lists this ribosomal RNA (139 nucleotides) under Clostridium butyricum. RNAcentral's name for it is "partial 23S ribosomal RNA". It matches the Rfam family "Bacterial large subunit ribosomal RNA", at positions 2787 to 2925 of the family's 2925-position model. Lineage: Bacteria; Bacillati; Bacillota; Clostridia; Eubacteriales; Clostridiaceae. The record is from RNAcentral.
GUGAAGCCCACCUCAAGAUGAGAUUUCCCAUAGCAUAAGCUAGUAAGACCCCUUGAAGACUACAAGGUUGAUAGGUCAGAGGUGUAAGUGCGGUAACGUAUUUAGCUGACUGAUACUAAUAGGUCGAUGGCUUGACCAA